This 341-nucleotide ribosomal RNA is filed under the name uncultured bacterium. RNAcentral describes it as "bacterial SSU rRNA". It matches the Rfam family "Bacterial small subunit ribosomal RNA", at positions 182 to 507 of the family's 1533-position model. The record is from RNAcentral.
UUGAAGGCAUCUUACGAGAGAUAAAAACGGCUUCACAGCCGUCGCUGAGAGAUGGACCUGCGGCGCAUUAGCUAGUUGGUGAGAUAAUAGCCCACCAAGGCGAGGAUGCGUAGCCGACCUGAGAGGGUGAUCGGCCACAAUGGAACUGAGAAACGGUCCAUACUCCUACGGGGGGCAGCAGUAGGGAGUUUUCGGCAAUGGGGGGAACCCUGACCGAGCAACGCCGCGUGAGUGAUGAAGGUCUUCGGAUUGUAAAGCUCUGUUGUAGGGGACGAAUGAGUGAUCGAGGAAAUGCGGUCGCUUUGACGGUACUCUACCAGAAAGCCACGGCUAACUACGUG